AUUCCCCUUUCCCGGCAUUUGCAUAAAACGUGUUGCAAAACCACCUCUACAUGUCUAAACCGCCCUCUUUUCCCCGGUUCCUCAGCUGUAUGCCCGUGCUAUCAUUUAUUUUGUUAUCCCGGAUGUGUGUAUAUGUGUAUACAGUAUUGCUGAUGACUGACCUCUGUGUACCGUUUUGGUAGAAAGAUUAACCAACAUUUCCCUAUUUUCCCUCCUUUUUUUUUCUUAGACACGCAUGCGUGCAAGCGUGUGAGAGCCUCACAUGACAUGAUGGAUUGAACCAGAAUUGGAAACUGAAGAAAACAGAGAAAAUUCCAUCUCUAUUUUUAUCUGGAAUACAGCUUAACCAGAAGGGCUCUUUUCUCUGCUCAACCCCAGCAUGGAGACACUCUGGGAAGCUGGCAGGGGGAGAAAAAUUAGCUGUCUCCUCCCCGAAGAAACCAACAAACAGGGGUCUAACGUGUUUGAAAAAUCGCGGACUUCUGAUGUGUGGAUCUUCGGGUUCCUGUGGAUAAUCCGUUGGGGCGAACCUGAAACAAAAGUGAGACGUCUCAGUGGAAGCUGUUUUGCCUGCGACUUCUUUCUGUGUGAAUUUCAUAAUAAA
RNAcentral lists this long non-coding RNA (604 nucleotides) under Crocodylus porosus (Australian saltwater crocodile). Its description in RNAcentral is "lncRNA (ENSCPRG00005013825.1)". Lineage: Eukaryota; Metazoa; Chordata; Crocodylia; Crocodylidae. The record is from RNAcentral.